GCUGCCAGUUGCCAACGGGUGAAGCCGGGCACUCUGGCGGGACUGCCAUCGACAAGAUGGAGGAAGGUGGGGAUGACGUCAAGUCAUCAUGGCCCUUACUGUCCAGGGCGACACACGUGCUACAAUGGCCGGCACAGCGGGAAGCGAGGCAGUGAUGCCGAGCGGAUCCCUUAAAGCCGGUCUCAGUUCGGAUUGAAGUCUGCAACUCGACUUCAUGAAGCUGGAAUCGCUAGUAAUCGCAGAUCAGCCAAGCUGCGGUGAAUACGUUCCCGGGCCUU
RNAcentral lists this ribosomal RNA (278 nucleotides) under uncultured Synergistaceae bacterium. RNAcentral describes it as "partial 16S ribosomal RNA". It matches the Rfam family "Bacterial small subunit ribosomal RNA", at positions 1107 to 1382 of the family's 1533-position model. The record is from RNAcentral. Lineage: Bacteria; Thermotogati; Synergistota; Synergistia; Synergistales; Synergistaceae.